Cairina moschata (Muscovy duck) is the source of this 4187-nucleotide long non-coding RNA. The record is from Ensembl. Lineage: Eukaryota; Metazoa; Chordata; Aves; Anseriformes; Anatidae.
AUUGGUAUUGAUGUAUCCUCCGGACAGUUAAUUCAAUAGCCAAGUGUAUUUGGGUAUGUAUGGCUGAUAGUAGAAAAAAAGACUGCAAUCUUCUUCAGGCUUCACUGUACAGAAAAAAAAAAAAAAAAAAAUUAAAAAAAAAUAAAAAGGGGAGGUUGUGUCACAUUUUUAAAGCCUGGCGUUUGAAAUACAUGUUGUACGCAAUUUGCACCAGCUACUGCCAUAAAUAACACUUCUCCCCUAGAAACUUAUUGUAGCUAAAGUUGGAACCCCAAACUUUCAGCUAUUUCCUUUACUUCUCUUCACUCUGACCUUCAGAGCCUUACAAAGGAUGUCUUCUGAAAACUUGUUUUUUUUCUCCUCUGAAACACUUUGUCAGAAUGAAAUCUAUCCGCUAGCUCUAUAAGUCAAGGCAGCUUUUACCAGUAUAGUUACUGCAUUGCUCAUCUAAUGGACUGCUGUGUAAGUGGGACGAUAUUCUAAAAUACUGGGCAUUUCCUGUUUUAUAAGUGAAGUGUGUUAGACACCACUCACUGUAUUUCCCAACUGUUGGUUUCUUUUAUAAUGAUAAUAGCAGCUUUAGAAAAGUUAUUUGCAGAUACUACUUUCUUUCUUUUUUUCUGUUUUUCUGUCACAGUCUUGCUCUGGCAUUACCAAUUUGGAAAGCAACUGCAGCCUAAAAAGCAAUCAUUUGCAAUGACAUUGGAACAUACAGAGAAUUUUAAAAGGUGCCUCUAUUGGAGAUUGCUAUGUUAAAAAAAAAAAAAAAAAAAAAAAAAACUGAAAUGAAAAGCCACUUACCUUUCUUUCAAAGUUUCACAACAAAUGCGUCCUUGACAAAUGUGUGGAGGGUAACUACAGAAGGAAAAGUUACCUUAGCAAAGCAAGAACUAAGCUGCUUGAAAUGAGCUAUAGCACUGCACUGCAAGUACUUGUGAGUGGAGUGGGGGAAUGGUGUUUAGAGCCAGCCAUUCCUUAUGGGCGAGUUCUCCUUGUGGUCCUCUGUAGAGCUAGGACCUUAAAAACAAGUGGAAAGGCAUCUGGGAAGAUGUGUCAGCCCAAUAACCAUUUCUGGGUCAAAAUCCUGAUUGCUAUCCCCUGGCCAGGGCAGCCUUUUGGAGCUGCACUAUCAGAGAAUGGGGUUGCAGGACCAGAGAACCACUACAAGGUUUCAAGUGUGAAUAUGAGACUUCCUGAAGAUAUGCCCUGCCUGCAGCAGGUACAGCUGUUUUUAAUGUGGUUGAAAUAUUAUGAAAGGCCCUUCACUCAAGCCAUCAGUGAACUUCCUCAGCAGGAGAGAGGCAGAGCUGGUGGGCUGUGGUGGUCGUCAUCAGAUGUGAGCUCCAUCAAGGACAGGAGCUGCACCAAAGGAGCUAGUAAUGUUCUUCCCCUUUGGCAACCAGAAGGAAUCUGUAAUAUGCAAGUGCUCAGCAAGAGUGGAAAUGAAGGGUUGAGUCACAAUCUGGGCCCCAGGCACGAGCCCUUCAUAGAAGUUGUCUUUAUGCACCUUGCAACAGCCUCUGAUGAACCUUAUAAAGGAUUUAGCUCCCCUCAAGCAGUGCGGUUUCAGAACAGACCACCUGCACGGUAACUAAGAAAAACAGUUCAAAAACACAGCAGGGAUUGGUGAAAGAUAACAAAAUCAUCUGAAAAGCCACGCUAAAAAAUAAAAUAAAAAUGUUUAGGAGUGGGAAGAAAAGGUCUUCAGUUGAUUCAGUGUUGCCCAUCAAGUCGGAAAUGCCUAUGACAUUUUGGAAAUGCCGACAGCUUGAGGAAAUGAAGAAACUUGCCAUGAUCUCAGAGUCCUGCUUGGCCCAGCAGGGACGGAAGCAAAGGCCCUGCAACAUGGCAGGAAUUGUCAAGACCUGGGUCCUGCAGGGGGACUGGCCCACGGAACAAAUCUGAGUGGAUUUACAGCUAUUUGAAACACUUGAGGAGAGCCAAGUGUUUUUAGCUGGAGGCUUGGGUCUGCAGGAAGGACUCCUGGCUCUUCCCUGUGAAUCAGCUUGCCUCGGAGCUAGCAGACCGUGCAGGUUUUCGUGGGGCCUGCCUGCAGCACAAGGAGCAUGCUGUGAGCGCACACUCAGGUGGCAGCAGGCCCAGCCAAACUGUGGUGCCACUGGUACAAGGCUUCCAGAAAGCUUUUUGAUCUUGAUACUCAGCAGGAUGAAUGAUUCAAAUCUCCACAUUUUUUACAGGUCCGCUGAGUUCCUCACCACCCAGGCCUAUUCAUUCCUAUCUGGAGGGUAGACUUUCUUAACAGCGUUCCCAAAAUACCCAUGGUGGGGCUGGAGAGCUGGUUCUGAGAACUCUCUAAAGACAGAGACUUCAGAGGACUUUCUGACAUCCUUCCACAGCUGUGCCAGCCCAAGCUAGCUCUGCAGCUCCUACUAUCAUUAAAAAUAAAAUAAUUUAAAAAAUGUUUUUCCUUUGCUUCAUCUUUCUGACAGAUCUGUGCGUUAGACUGGGGGUGCUCCCAUUGUUGCAAGGAGCCAGAGGAAGAGCCGCAAGCCCUGGUGGCACACAGCUGGCAUCCAGAGCCAGUGUGUGCACAGGGAUGGGAGCCUGCAGAGCCCCUUGACAGCCUGCUGUGCUCUGGGGGAGGUUUUCUCCAUGUGGAGUCCGAGAUGGGCAGUAUUUUGAAUGAUGCAUAAUAAUGGCACUGUGGCCAUCAGGGCGAAUUCUUGCCUUGCUGCAAGAAAAUGGUUGUGAAAUCCUGCUACUAAAUUUAGGGGGAAAUUUCUAUGUCGGCUGAGCUUCUUGGUAAGUGUGUUAGAAAUGAUUGCCCAAGUUGUGAGCAGAAUGAGCAGUGACAUUACAAAAGCCGAGUGACUGCUGUGUGCUAUCUGUCCCUACCUGACCUCCUUCACAUCUCUCUGAGAAACACAAAAAUUUCAGGGGUGCAUCUGUGCCUUCAGUGAAAUGCCUCACAAAUGAAACUAAGCAGAGCCCUCACUUCUGCCCUGGGCCCCUGCAACACCCUGUCACCCCCCCCCCUCUUUUGGGAUACCUCCCAGCUAAAGAUACAGCUGUGUCCUGGUUCGCUGUGCAGGCAGGAUGCUGCUCAACACCAUGCAUGGCUGGAGAAGUGCCUCCUUCCUUGGAGAUCUUCAAAAGCCCCCUUGACAUCGUCCUGGGCAGGUGUCCUUGCUUGAGCAGGAGGGUUGGACCAGAUGAUCUCCAGAGGUCCCUUCCAACCUCUGCCCUUCUGUGAUCCUGUAAAGUGUCCUGAGCUCCUGCUGCUGGAUGCUGAAGAGACCAUGGGAUGUCUGAGACAGCACUGAGGCUGGGCCAGCAACAGCCUCUGCAUUGCCUUAUCACAGGGAGAAACCUGCAGGUACCAGUGUGAUCCCUGUGAAGCUGCCCAGGGCUGGGAGAUGUCCCUCAUCAGGGAACAAUAUCCAGUGACAGACACUGCACAGAGGCCAAGAAUCAGUUGGACAAAGUCACGCUUAUUAUUUCCAUUUGCAGGUGUGAUUUGAUGCAGCAGUCAAGAUAUGCUGGGUCACACCUGUAGGCCACAGUGGCAGUUUACAUUAGGAUAGGAUAACAGCAUAUUCAGACUUUUUUUCAAUGUGAUAGUUCUGAAGCUAUUGAUUUUUUUCCCCCAUAAUAACAUUUAUAACACUGCAGUGACAAACAAUUUCUACCCUAAUUUCUAACACCAUGAUUUACCUAGUAGGUAUUUUCUAUAAUACAUGGAUUUAUAGCAGUUUGCUAUGCUUCCCUUUUGGAGCACUUAGUUUUUUAAUAUCAUUAGCCUAAUAUUUAGUCAGAAUAUAAAUUUUAUGAUCCCAAUAAAAACUAAUUAUGAUGUGGCACUCACCUCAUAAGUCAGUACGUGUCAGUCCUCCGAGGCAUUACAGAUGCUAUCACCAGGCUUGAAGACAGUUAGACACAGUCAGUUGCAGCACAGCACCAACAGAAAGAUGUACAAAGCUGAACCUCACCCUUAGGUGAGAGCUAUUUAAUGAAUGGCCUCUCAGUGUUAAAGCUUUUGUAUGUACUGGAAAGAGUAUGCUAUUCAGUCCAUGUUUUUAUUGUGCUUAGGAACCAAUCUUAAAUGGUACUGGGUAGAAAGGAAGUUUUCAGUUGUUUUGCCUCUGUUGCCUGCCUCUCCUUUUCCCCUCUGUGCCUCUGUUGCCCUGCUCCCAUUCCCUUCCUAGCCCUAGAUGCCAGCUUCCUCC